RNAcentral lists this ribosomal RNA (424 nucleotides) under uncultured bacterium. RNAcentral describes it as "bacterial SSU rRNA". It matches the Rfam family "Bacterial small subunit ribosomal RNA", at positions 354 to 776 of the family's 1533-position model. The record is from RNAcentral.
GUGAGGAAUAUUGGUCAAUGGGCGGAAGCCUGAACCAGCCAAGUCGCGUGAGGGAAGACGGUCCUAUGGAUUGUAAACCUCUUUUGUCGGGGAGCAAGGAUCCGCACGAGUGCGGAGGCGAGAGUACCCGAAGAAAAAGCAUCGGCUAACUCCGUGCCAGCAGCCGCGGUAAUACGGAGGAUGCGAGCGUUAUCCGGAUUUAUUGGGUUUAAAGGGUGCGUAGGCGGCAUUUCAAGUCAGCGGUAAAAUUGAGAGGCUCAACCUCUUCGAGCCGUUGAAACUGGAGUGCUUGAGUGGGCGAGAAGUAUGCGGAAUGCGUGGUGUAGCGGUGAAAUGCAUAGAUAUCACGCAGAACUCCGAUUGCGAAGGCAGCAUACCGGCGCUCAACUGACGCUGAGGCACGAAAGCGUGGGGAUCGAACAGG